GGGGAUAUAGCCUGUUGGUAAAGUGCUUGCCUUAUAUGCACAAUGCCCUGGGUUCAAUCCCCAGUACCACCA
This 72-nucleotide transfer RNA is filed under the name Urocitellus parryii (Arctic ground squirrel). Its description in RNAcentral is "Spermophilus parryii (Arctic ground squirrel) tRNA". It matches the Rfam family "tRNA". From Rfam's summary of the family: Transfer RNA (tRNA) molecules are approximately 80 nucleotides in length. Their secondary structure includes four short double-helical elements and three loops (D, anti-codon, and T loops). Further hydrogen bonds mediate the characteristic L-shaped molecular structure. tRNAs have two regions of fundamental functional importance: the anti-codon, which is responsible for specific mRNA codon recognition, and the 3' end, to which the tRNAs corresponding amino acid is attached (by aminoacyl-tRNA synthetases). tRNAs cope with the degeneracy of the genetic code in two manners: having more than one tRNA (with a specific anti-codon) for a particular amino acid; and 'wobble' base-pairing, i.e. permitting non-standard base-pairing at the 3rd anti-codon position. Lineage: Eukaryota; Metazoa; Chordata; Mammalia; Rodentia; Sciuridae. RNAcentral also lists the same sequence under 1 other name. The record is from Rfam by way of RNAcentral.